RNAcentral lists this ribosomal RNA (50 nucleotides) under Peniophora sp. ZK61b/08. RNAcentral describes it as "partial 18S ribosomal RNA". Lineage: Eukaryota; Fungi; Basidiomycota; Agaricomycetes; Russulales; Peniophoraceae. The record is from RNAcentral.
CAUUAGCGAAGCUCGGAAUGCGUGUUCGGUCUGAUGCUGCCCGGCAACGG